GGGUCUUGCCGGAGCAACCCCAACUCCAGUUUAGACUUUCCUUCCAGGUCCCAUCGACGGACGUGAUCCCCUCGACUCUGGCUUCUCCAACAUCGGUGGAAUUCUGCACCAAUAGAAUUGACGCUAGAGAAAGGGUUGUGUCUUCACAGUACCCUUGUUCUUAAAUGAGUGCUCAAUGGGACCAUCUCCGAUCAUCUUCUCCAAUAUCUUCUUCUCCUUCUCCUGCC
Molecule: long non-coding RNA, 227 nt
Filed under: Elaeis guineensis (African oil palm)
Lineage: Eukaryota; Viridiplantae; Streptophyta; Magnoliopsida; Arecales; Arecaceae
Description: long non-coding RNA (EGUI_LNC066082)
Source: RNAcentral